This 876-nucleotide ribosomal RNA is filed under the name Triticum aestivum (bread wheat). RNAcentral's name for it is "partial small subunit ribosomal RNA". The record is from RNAcentral. Lineage: Eukaryota; Viridiplantae; Streptophyta; Magnoliopsida; Poales; Poaceae.
AUGGAGGUGGGCCGAGGCACCGCCACCCUCUUCUGGUUGGACCGGUGGUGCGGUUCCUUGCCGUUCGCUUCCCGCUUCCAGGCCCUCUUCAAUAUCUGCGCCGACAAGUGUUUGACGGUGGCGUCAGCCUUGUCGAACCUCACGCAGAUAGCCUUUAGAAGGACCUUCGGUCCCGGCGAGCUGGAUAUGUGGGAGGACCUCAUAGCAUGCAUUGCCCUCCAUUCCCCAUCCGAGGAGGAGGACGUAGUCCAUUGGUACCUCGAGCCCAGUGGGCGGUUCUCAGCGAAAUCGCUAUACCAUGCGAUUAUGCCCACUCCGGGACCGAUAGAAUUGAACCUCCUUUGGGAGAUUAAGCUGCCGUUGAAGAUUAGGAUCUUCCUUUGGCAAUUAGUGCGCAGACGAAUCCCAUCCGGUACGGAGGUGCUGAAGCGUAACGGCCCCUCCGACGGGAUGUGUCCUUUGUGCUUGACCCCGGAGGACUCUAACCACAUAUUCUUCGUGUGCCCGGCGGCGAGAUUCCUCUGGGGUUGCUUUCGGGAGGUUGCAGGUGGCAGAUGGUGCCAUACCAACCUCCCCGAUAUGUUUGCGGAGGUGCUUGAGCCCAUCCAUACGGUUGGGCGGCCGGCCCUUUGGGUGGCCAUUGGUGCCCUCCUUUGGACGCUUUGGAAUAUCCGUGCUAAGCUUGUGAUUGAGCAUGUUAUUCCUUUUCGCGCGACUGAUGCAGUAUACAAACUCUAUGGUUUUCUACAGCUAUGGCAACCGCUUAGUCGGCGCCAGGAUCGGGUCUUCAUCGAUCGGGCCAUCGCUUGGCUCCGGUCCAUCGCCGCCCGCUUGUCUGCACCGCCGCUCCCCCCUCCGCCCCCGAAGCUGGAUUAG